This 254-nucleotide ribosomal RNA is filed under the name uncultured bacterium. RNAcentral's name for it is "partial 16S ribosomal RNA". It matches the Rfam family "Bacterial small subunit ribosomal RNA", at positions 524 to 776 of the family's 1533-position model. The record is from RNAcentral.
UACGUAGGGUGCGAGCGUUGUCCGGAAUUAUUGGGCGUAAAGAGCUCGUAGGCGGUUUGUCACGUCGGCCGUGAAAACCUGCAGCUUAACUGUGGGCGUGCGGUCGAUACGGGCAUCACUGGAGUUCGGCAGGGGAGACUGGAAUUCCUGGUGUAGCGGUGAAAUGCGCAGAUAUCAGGAGGAACACCGGUGGCGAAGGCGGGUCUCUGGGCCGAUACUGACGCUGAGGAGCGAAAGCGUGGGGAGCAAGCAGG